RNAcentral lists this ribosomal RNA (407 nucleotides) under Verrucomicrobiota bacterium. Its description in RNAcentral is "Verrucomicrobia bacterium partial 16S ribosomal RNA". It matches the Rfam family "Bacterial small subunit ribosomal RNA", at positions 355 to 776 of the family's 1533-position model. The record is from RNAcentral. Lineage: Bacteria; Pseudomonadati; Verrucomicrobiota.
UGGGGAAUAUUGGACAAUGGAGGAAACUCUGAUCCAGCAAUUCUGUGUGUGUGAAGAAGGUUUUAGGACUGUAAAACACUUUUAGUAGGGAAGAAAAAAAUGACGGUACCUACAGAAGAAGCAACGGCUAAAUACGUGCCAGCAGCCGCGGUAAUACGUAUGUUGCGAGCGUUAUCCGGAAUUAUUGGGCUUAAAGGGCAUCUAGGCGGUAAGACAAGUUGAAGGUGAAAACCUGUGACUCAACCAUAGGCUUGCCUACAAAACUGUUGAACUAGAGUACUGGAAAGGUGGGUGGAACUACACGAGUAGAGGUGAAAUUCGUAGAUAUGUGUAGGAAUGCCGAUGAUGAAGAUAACUCACUGGACAGAAACUGACGCUGAAGUGCGAAAGCUAGGGGAGCAAACAGG